AGCUCGAGCCCGAGCGGCCAAUGGGAGCGGACUGUAAAUCCGUCGCGAAAGCUUCACAGGUUCGAAUCCUGUACCUGCCACCA
RNAcentral lists this transfer RNA (83 nucleotides) under Mycobacterium sp. ACS4054. Its description in RNAcentral is "tRNA-Tyr". The stretch from base 8 to 72 matches the Rfam family "tRNA", at positions 9 to 63 of the family's 71-position model. Rfam says of the family: Transfer RNA (tRNA) molecules are approximately 80 nucleotides in length. Their secondary structure includes four short double-helical elements and three loops (D, anti-codon, and T loops). The record is from RNAcentral. Lineage: Bacteria; Bacillati; Actinomycetota; Actinomycetes; Mycobacteriales; Mycobacteriaceae.